UAGGGAAUCUUCCGCAAUGGACGCAAGUCUGACGGAGCAACGCCGCGUGAGUGAAGAAGGAUUUCGGUUCAUAAAACUCUGUUGUUAGAGAAGAACAGCGCAUAGAGUAACUGUUAUGCGUGUGACGGUAUCUAACCAGAAAGCCACGGCUAACUACGUGCCAGCAGCCGCGGUAAUACGUAGGUGGCAAGCGUUGUCCGGAUUUAUUGGGCGUAAAGCGAGCGCAGGCGGUCAAUUAAGUCUGAUGUGAAAGCCCCCGGCUCAACCGGGGAGGGUCAUUGGAAACUGGUUGACUUGAGUGCAGAAGAGGAGAGUGGAAUUCCAUGUGUAGCGGUGAAAUGCGUAGAUAUAUGGAGGAACACCAGUGGCGAAGGCGACUCUCUGGUCUGUAACUGACGCUGAGGCUCGAAAGCGUGGGUAGCAAACAGG
Molecule: ribosomal RNA, 429 nt
Filed under: Bacteroidota bacterium
Lineage: Bacteria; Pseudomonadati; Bacteroidota
Description: Bacteroidetes bacterium partial 16S ribosomal RNA
Rfam family: Bacterial small subunit ribosomal RNA
Source: RNAcentral